UGUGCCAGCAGCCGCGGUAAUACGUAGGGUGCGAGCGUUGUCCGGAAUUACUGGGCGUAAAGGGCUCGUAGGUGGUUUGUCGCGUCGUCUGUGAAAUUCCGGGGCUUAACUCCGGGCGUGCAGGCGAUACGGGCAUAACUUGAGUACUGUAGGGGUAACUGGAAUUCCUGGUGUAGCGGUGAAAUGCGCAGAUAUCAGGAGGAACACCGAUGGCGAAGGCAGGUUACUGGGCAGUUACUGACGCUGAGGAGCGAAAGCAUGGGUAGCGAACAGGAUGAGAUACCUGGUAGUC
RNAcentral lists this ribosomal RNA (292 nucleotides) under uncultured Actinomycetales bacterium. Its description in RNAcentral is "partial 16S ribosomal RNA". It matches the Rfam family "Bacterial small subunit ribosomal RNA", at positions 504 to 795 of the family's 1533-position model. The record is from RNAcentral. Lineage: Bacteria; Bacillati; Actinomycetota; Actinomycetes; Actinomycetales.